Molecule: non-coding RNA, 71 nt
Organism: Bacilli bacterium VT-13-104
Lineage: Bacteria; Bacillati; Bacillota; Bacilli
Source: Rfam
AACCGCCGUAUACGGAACCGUACGUACGGUGGUGUGAGAGGUCGGAGGUUAGUCGCCUCCUCCUACUCGAU